UACGGAGGGUGCGAGCGUUAAUCGGAAUUACUGGGCGUAAAGCGCACGCAGGCGGUUAUUUAAGCUAGAAGUGAAAGCCCCGAGCUCAACUUGGGAAGGCCUUUUAGAACUGGAUAACUAGAGUCUUGGAGAGGGGAGUGGAAUUCCACGUGUAGCGGUGAAAUGCGUAGAUAUGUGGAGGAACAUCAGUGGCGAAGGCGACUCCCUGGCCAAAGACUGACGCUCAUGUGCGAAAGUGUGGGUAGCGAACAGG
Molecule: ribosomal RNA, 253 nt
Filed under: uncultured bacterium
Lineage: Bacteria
Description: partial 16S ribosomal RNA
Rfam family: Bacterial small subunit ribosomal RNA
Source: RNAcentral